CCAGCCCUUGACAUCCCCUUGAACAUGCCGUAGCGGGCAUGGCCUUUUAGGCAGGGGAGACAGGUGGUGCAUGGUUGUCGUCAGCUCGUGUCGUGAGAUGUUGGGUUAAGUCCCGCAACGAGCGCAACCCCUGCCCCCAGUAGCCAGCGGCGAGGCCGGGCAGUGGGGGGGGACCGCCGGGGACAACCCGGAGGAAGGCGGGGACGACGUCAAAUCAUCAUGCCCCUUAUGGGCUGGGCUACACACGUGCUACAAUGGCGCCGACAAAGGGAGGCGAAGCGGCGACGCGGAGCAAACCCCAGAAACGGCGCCCCAGUUCGGAUUGCAGCCUGCAACUCGGCUGCAUGAAGCCGGAAUCGCUAGUAAUCGCGGAUCAGGAUGCCGCGGUGAAUACGUUCCCGGGUCUUGUACACACCGCCCGUCACACCAUGGGAGCCAGGAAUGCCCGAAGUCUGUGGCCGAACCCCUCAGGGGGGCGGGGCAGCCGAAGGCAGGCCGGGUGACUGGGGUGAAGUCGUAACAAGGUAGCCGU
This 532-nucleotide ribosomal RNA is filed under the name uncultured bacterium. Its description in RNAcentral is "bacterial SSU rRNA". It matches the Rfam family "Bacterial small subunit ribosomal RNA", at positions 974 to 1503 of the family's 1533-position model. The record is from RNAcentral.